GAUGAACGCUGGCGGCGUGCCUAAUACAUGCAAGUCGAGCGAACAGACGAGGAGCUUGCUCCUCUGACGUUAGCGGCGGACGGGUGAGUAACACGUGGAUAACCUACCUAUAAGACUGGGAUAACUUCGGGAAACCGGAGCUAAUACCGGAUAAUAUAUUGAACCGCAUGGUUCAAUAGUGAAAGACGGUUUUGCUGUCACUUAUAGAUGGAUCCGCGCCGCAUUAGCUAGUUGGUAAGGUAACGGCUUACCAAGGCAACGAUGCGUAGCCGACCUGAGAGGGGGAUCGGCCACACUGGAACUGAGACACGGUCCAGACUCCUACGGGAGGCAGCAGUAGGGAAUCUUCCGCAAUAGGCGAAAGCUUGACGGAGCAACGCCGCGUGAGUGAUGAAGGUCUUCGGAUCGUAAAACUCUGUUAUUAGGGAAGAACAAAUGUGUAAGUAACUAUGCACGUCUUGACGGUACCUAAUCAGAAAGCCACGGCUAACUACGUG
Molecule: ribosomal RNA, 497 nt
Filed under: uncultured bacterium
Lineage: Bacteria
Description: partial 16S ribosomal RNA
Rfam family: Bacterial small subunit ribosomal RNA
Source: RNAcentral